This 1539-nucleotide ribosomal RNA is filed under the name Escherichia coli. RNAcentral describes it as "bacterial SSU rRNA". It matches the Rfam family "Bacterial small subunit ribosomal RNA". Lineage: Bacteria; Pseudomonadati; Pseudomonadota; Gammaproteobacteria; Enterobacterales; Enterobacteriaceae. The record is from RNAcentral.
UUGAAGAGUUUGAUCAUGGCUCAGAUUGAACGCUGGCGGCAGGCCUAACACAUGCAAGUCGAACGGUAACAGGAAACAGCUUGCUGUUUCGCUGACGAGUGGCGGACGGGUGAGUAAUGUCUGGGAAACUGCCUGAUGGAGGGGGAUAACUACUGGAAACGGUAGCUAAUACCGCAUAACGUCGCAAGACCAAAGAGGGGGACCUUCGGGCCUCUUGCCAUCGGAUGUGCCCAGAUGGGAUUAGCUUGUUGGUGGGGUAACGGCUCACCAAGGCGACGAUCCCUAGCUGGUCUGAGAGGAUGACCAGCCACACUGGAACUGAGACACGGUCCAGACUCCUACGGGAGGCAGCAGUGGGGAAUAUUGCACAAUGGGCGCAAGCCUGAUGCAGCCAUGCCGCGUGUAUGAAGAAGGCCUUCGGGUUGUAAAGUACUUUCAGCGGGGAGGAAGGGAGUAAAGUUAAUACCUUUGCUCAUUGACGUUACCCGCAGAAGAAGCACCGGCUAACUCCGUGCCAGCAGCCGCGGUAAUACGGAGGGUGCAAGCGUUAAUCGGAAUUACUGGGCGUAAAGCGCACGCAGGCGGUUUGUUAAGUCAGAUGUGAAAUCCCCGGGCUCAACCUGGGAACUGCAUCUGAUACUGGCAAGCUUGAGUCUCGUAGAGGGGGGGUAGAAUUCCAGGUGUAGCGGUGAAAUGCGUAGAGAUCUGGAGGAAUACCGGUGGCGAAGGCGGCCCCCUGGACGAAGACUGACGCUCAGGUGCGAAAGCGUGGGGAGCAAACAGGAUUAGAUACCCUGGUAGUCCACGCCGUAAACGAUGUCGACUUGGAGGUUGUGCCCUUGAGGCGUGGCUUCCGGAGCUAACGCGUUAAGUCGACCGCCUGGGGAGUACGGCCGCAAGGUUAAAACUCAAAUGAAUUGACGGGGGCCCGCACAAGCGGUGGAGCAUGUGGUUUAAUUCGAUGCAACGCGAAGAACCUUACCUGGUCUUGACAUCCACAGAACUUUCCAGAGAUGGAUUGGUGCCUUCGGGAACUGUGAGACAGGUGCUGCAUGGCUGUCGUCAGCUCGUGUUGUGAAAUGUUGGGUUAAGUCCCGCAACGAGCGCAACCCUUAUCCUUUGUUGCCAGCGGUCCGGCCGGGAACUCAAAGGAGACUGCCAGUGAUAAACUGGAGGAAGGUGGGGAUGACGUCAAGUCAUCAUGGCCCUUACGACCAGGGCUACACACGUGCUACAAUGGCGCAUACAAAGAGAAGCGACCUCGCGAGAGCAAGCGGACCUCAUAAAGUGCGUCGUAGUCCGGAUUGGAGUCUGCAACUCGACUCCAUGAAGUCGGAAUCGCUAGUAAUCGUGGAUCAGAAUGCCACGGUGAAUACGUUCCCGGGCCUUGUACACACCGCCCGUCACACCAUGGGAGUGGGUUGCAAAAGAAGUAGGUAGCUUAACCUUCGGGAGGGCGCUUACCACUUUGUGAUUCAUGACUGGGGUGAAGUCGUAACAAGGUAACCGUAGGGGAACCUGCGGUUGGAUCACCUCCUU